CCUGUCCAAAGAGUCUUGCUGUGUGUGCAAAGUAACAAAGUGCAAAACUAAGAAACCAUUUUUACAUCAGCAAUGACCCAUGGAACUUACACAAAAACAAUCUGUACUGCACAGUACAGCAGCACUUUAAGGCGAUCUUCCAUCCAACCCUCCCACCCAACUCGACUCCAGCUUCCUUCCUCAUUAGGCCCAGCCCAGCCCUGCCCAGUAUAUCACACUGAUUCUAGGAUUACUGCCAUCCCCUGUUGCAACUGACGGAAAAGAAAAGAACAAAAAGCAAAUCAAGGUGACUGUACCACGUUUUGUUUUCGUCAAAUGUCAGCUGGAUCAGCACAAUGUACAUCUCUUUGUUUCUUCUCUUCCUCCUUAUAGGUUCAACUUCUACCAAAGGCCAAGGGGAUUUCGGCAUUUUUACGGCUUGCAUCACUAACAACAGCCUCAGGUUGGAAUGCUAUUAUCAAGUCUGUCCAGAUUCUCCGCCAUUCAACUGUGUAUUUAUGACAUCAAAUGGAUUCCUGCCGGCUAACCCAUCCAAGAUGUGCAAGCUUUUUCUCCCAGAACAUCCUGUGCUGUACACCAAUAAAACCACGAACUACAGCUGCAUACUGACGCGAAGAAACAGGAGAGAAGAGAAGCAAAUUACCAUAGACUACAGUAUACGUAGGGGAAAACAACGCAUCUCACCCUGUUCUGGCACCAAAGGCUACCUGCUACAUCGAUCUCCAACCUUACAAUGGCCUGUAGUGAUUCUGUCUCUGUGGAGGGUCCUCGGUAGCCAAACAACAUGAGGGAUUAGUUGUGGAAGCUUUGACUAACAUAAAUGUAUUCAUUUUCUUUGAUAAACUAAAUAAAUCUAUAUCCAGAUUUCUAUGGAAAGGCAAAUCCUCUAGAGUUAAUCUUUCAACCCUUCAGGCCUCAAAGCCAAAGAAGGAUUUAAUCUUCUCAAUUUUAAAUGUUAUUACCUUGCAGUUUAAUUGUGUUCAAUAUGUGCUGAUUGCACUCUGAGGACAACGAGACGAGACAUCACUUAAAGGGUGUUUCCAUAAAGCACUUCCUUUUCCUAGCCACUAAGAAAACACUCUUAACUAUCACCAAGAAUCCUAUUAUUCUAAACUUCUUUGCUGCAUGGCAAGAUGCCCACACUAUCAUAUGGGAUAACCCCAACAUCCCUUGCCCUAUUGCAGAUGGAACAGUAAAAAACUGGGUUUAAUAGCAGCACAGAAACAGUUGAAGAUUUACACGUCCAAGAUAACUUCCCAAAUGUUUGACAAUUAACUGAAAAUUUAGGCUACCAAAUCAUAAUUUAUUUAAAUUUUCAAAUUAGACAUUGGGUCUGCAAUUUCUAAUAUUUGAAACAGCAACUUCCCAAUCUAUGAUAAGGUCGAUUAAAAACAGAUUGGAAUAAGAUCUCCAAUGCAUUUACAAUGAUGAUGAUUAGUGUAAUAUCCUCGAAAAAACUGAAACUUCAUCUGACCCUAGGGUCUGGAUAUUGGGAGACAUACAAGGACCUAAAGUGAGCCAUAGUAAAAAAAAAA
Long non-coding RNA from Sander lucioperca (pikeperch), 1535 nucleotides. RefSeq lists it as uncharacterized. The record is from RefSeq and is a predicted model, not a curated record. Lineage: Eukaryota; Metazoa; Chordata; Actinopteri; Perciformes; Percidae. The transcript is spliced from 5 exons.